AGAGUUUGAUUAUGGCUCAGGAUGAACGCUAGCUACAGGCUUAGCACAUGCAAGUCGAGGGGCAGCGGGAGAGUAGCUUGCUACUCUUGCCGGCGACCGGCGAAUGGGUGAGUAACGCGUAUCCAACCUGCCACAUGCCCGGGAAUAGCCCUUGGAAAUGAGGAUUAAGUCCCGAUAUGCUUAUUUGUCGCAUGACAUGUAAGUGAAACAGGCGUGUGAUGGGGAUGCGUCCGAUUAGCUUGCCGGCGGGGUAACGGCCCACCGGGGCUUCGAUCGGUAGGGGUUCUGAGAGGAAGGUCCCCCCACACUGGUACUGAGACACGGACCAGACUCCUACGGGAGGCAGCAGUGAGGAAUAUUGGUCAAUGGGCGAGAGCCUGAACCAGCCAAGUAAGCGUGCAGGAUGACGGCCCUACGGGUUGUAAACUGCUUUUUCCGGGGAAUAACCGGCGUCACGUGUGGCGCCCUGCAUGUACCCGGUGAAUAAGGACCGGCUAAUUCCGUGCCAGCCGCAGC
Molecule: ribosomal RNA, 516 nt
Filed under: uncultured bacterium
Lineage: Bacteria
Description: bacterial SSU rRNA
Rfam family: Bacterial small subunit ribosomal RNA
Source: RNAcentral